UUAAAUGCAGUGAAUAGGAAUAGUAAACUUAACUCUUGUUUAGAGAGAGUCGGUGGUCAGUGCAAAUCGACAUCAGGAGAGGUUGAAUCCACCUAGGAGCAGUUAGUGAAUAUCAAGCUAAACCGGUUAUGGCGCCGUUAUCUGUCAUAGAAGUGGGCCUUUUAUAGGCCAAUUAGGGUGGCACCACGGGUAAAGAAUAUUAAAUCUCUCGCCCCUAGC
This 219-nucleotide non-coding RNA is filed under the name Selenihalanaerobacter shriftii. Its description in RNAcentral is "T-box sequence". It matches the Rfam family "T-box leader". From Rfam's summary of the family: Uncharged tRNA acts as the effector for transcription antitermination of genes in the T-box leader family. The record is from RNAcentral. Lineage: Bacteria; Bacillati; Bacillota; Clostridia; Halanaerobiales; Halobacteroidaceae.